CUGGUGGGGAAUAACCCUGGGAAACCGGGGCUAAUACCGCAUAAGUUCGAGAGGAGAAAGGCGCAAGUCGCCGGAAGAGGAGUCCGCGGUCGAUUAGCUAGUUGGGAGGGUAAAAGCCUACCAAGGCUUUGAUCGAUAGCCGGCCGGAGAGGGCACUCGGCCACACUGGCACUGAAACACGGGCCAGACUCCUACGGGAGGCCGCUGUGGGUAAUCUUGCGUAAUGGGGAAACCCUGAUGCAGCGACGCCGCGUGAGCGAUGAAGCCCUUCGGGGUGUAAUGCUCUUUCGACAGGGACGAUAAUGAUUGUACCUGGAGAAGAAGCUGCGGUUAACUACGUGCCAGCAGCCGCGGUAAUACUUAGGCAGCAAACGUUGUUUUGGAGUUUCUGGGCUUAAAGUGUGCUUAGGCGCCUCGCCAAGUUCGGUUGAAAUCUCCUGUCUUAAGUGGGAGG
This 454-nucleotide ribosomal RNA is filed under the name uncultured bacterium. RNAcentral describes it as "bacterial SSU rRNA". It matches the Rfam family "Bacterial small subunit ribosomal RNA", at positions 133 to 620 of the family's 1533-position model. The record is from RNAcentral.